GGUGUAGGCAUAUCCUCAUAUUUUUUAGGCCUUUACCUAUGUAUCUUUUAUGUGGGUGUAUCUUAAUUUUUUUGUAGUGAGAUCCUCUACCUGUAAGCACGAUUGUGAAAAAGGUUAAUGUAGAUCUUUUCAUCACCCAAAAAAAUAAUCACAAAGAUAAAAGAUUUGAAGAGAAGAAAUCAAAAGAAAGAGAGGAAGAGGAUUAGGAAUAACAACUUGUGCUCAAGAAGUAUUGCCAGCCUUUAGACAAUGCCUGGUGGUAGAGCGAGAAGCUCUAGGUCCUUUAGUAAGAGAGAUUGAGGGUUCAAUCAGAACUCUAGGGUUAAUCGAUGGAAUCACCAUGCCAUAGUAAGUGAUGUGCUACCAAAGUGGAGUAAUGUUUGCUCAUUCCCUUCUAGGAUAAGGUAGGAAAGGACCACCAGUGCAUCUCUCAGACUUGGGGUGGCAAUUCAUGUUCGCAUGCCGUAAUCGUGUCAACACGAUUUCAACAUGAACAUGAUUAUCGAGAACGCGAACACGACAUGAUUAGUAAAUAUGUCUAGAUUUUCUAAUACGUACACAAAUCUAUUUAUUAAAUAUGUUGCCUAUUUAACAUGAUUAUUAAAUACGUCAUGUCGGGUUAACAUGUUUACACG
RNAcentral lists this long non-coding RNA (635 nucleotides) under Elaeis guineensis (African oil palm). RNAcentral describes it as "long non-coding RNA (EGUI_LNC064398)". The record is from RNAcentral. Lineage: Eukaryota; Viridiplantae; Streptophyta; Magnoliopsida; Arecales; Arecaceae.